Molecule: long non-coding RNA, 523 nt
Organism: Cannabis sativa
Lineage: Eukaryota; Viridiplantae; Streptophyta; Magnoliopsida; Rosales; Cannabaceae
Exons: 2
Source: RefSeq, a predicted model, not a curated record
UUCCCCUAUUUCUGUGAUCAAUAAGACCAUUGAAGAAGAUAGGUUUGAUAUUCCAGAGGUUCCUAUGGAGGAAGAUUGAUCAAAGUACUUGCCAAAGUUUCAUUCACACAAUGAGAGGGCACGUAUUGCAGUGAAAAUAGUUACGUCUGAAAUGAACAAAUUAAAAGAUAGUGUGAACUACACACCCUUGAGAGACCGCAAGACCAUCACGCAGUGUACCAGUCGUUAAAGACAUUCACCCAUGAGAUGCUAGCAAGGCUUAGUUUAUCGCUUUCACAGGAAAUUUUUGAUUGGAUAUGUUUUGUCAUUUAUAUUUUGAUCUUAACUCAUCAAACAUCAUUUCAUCAUCAUCCUAAGAAUUUGUUUAAUAUUGAGUUUGAGAUGAAGAUGAAGUUUAUUUAGAGGAUCGGUUUUGUUUUUCUUUUUUUAAAGUGUUAAUGUUUCUCUAGUACUAAUUUUCCUUCAACUGUAUAGUGUUCUUUAUUUUAGUACUUGAAAAAUAUAAGACAUGGAUUUAAAUUAA